UAUUUCAGUUACAGAGAAUUCUGGCUCUGAGAGCCUUUCUAGUUCUAAUGGCCUACUCAUUUUAUGUCACUCUAGGAUUGAAAGUUCAGUGAGAAAAUGAUCUAAAAGUUGGCAUGAUGUGAGAGCUUUAUCUGAGAUGGUUAUGGAUGAAAACGCUGAACUCUGUAAUUAUUUCCCCAAAUUAUACAGCACAGGAUAAGAUACUCUUAGAUUAUUUUAGUUUUGUUUUUGGUGCUUUUUAAUUUGGGCUAUGGCUGGGAAGCCACAGAUAGUCUUGCAGUGUGACCAACAUGGUUCCAUGGCAGUUCACCUUUUGUUUUCAUAUGGAAACCUCUCUCACUUGCCUUAUUUAUAAAAGCCUCUCACCUAGGUGAAUCCUGAGCUGCUUUAGAAGAGAAGGCCAGGACUGCAUUGUUAAUUCAUGUAAAAAGAGACCAAUGGGCCCUAAUAUGUUUGAGAAGUCAGUGUGGCCAUUGAGCCCUGCGAGGCUCCUGGCAUAAGCAUGCUCAGAAUGCCCCCAGGUAGGAGAUCCAUACCCUGAUGAAAAUGCUGGGAAGGAAAGGCUAAGGCUUAGCAUAUGUAGCCCUUCUUGGAAUCUGUGGGUUCCCCUGAGAUGUCAGGAGACUCCAUGGGGCUGUGCACAGAUACUCAUUCUUGGAGGGGAUUUUAAGAGGAAUGAAGUCCUAUGAUUCAGCCACUGAAGGACAACUAGACUUCAAAAGCAAAAAUCUACAAAAAAACACAACUGCUCCCAGGAAUUAUAUUGUGUAAAACUUUGCUUUAAAAAAUGACGGUGGAGGUUGGGUGGGAGGGGACUCAGAUAUUUUGAUUGUUGUCAUGCUCUGUCAGCCCAGGACUCUGAAUUGCAGUUGUAGGAGUGGGUAGAUAUGACGUCAACAUGAGGAAAACAUCAGGGAAACAAAAGUACAGGAAGGCCAGGUCUGCAAUUAACUAGGCCAAGGAUAAAAUCUGAUUGCAUGCUGUUCUGGGGAGAGGAGGAGGUGGUGUGGCUAGGCGGAAAGGCAGUACUCCGAGUCAGCCACGUAAGAUCCUGAACAUGUUGGAUGAGGUGACAGGUGUGGGAAUAUUUGCACAGUGGUGGUUGCCAGACACAGCGGGCCUGAAGCUGCAACAGGAGGAGCAGGAGGCUCUGGGGCACUCACCAUGUUGUUCCAGAGGGCAAUGGCCAUCUCGGCGUGACCGCGCUCUGAGAAGUGGAAGCAGUCGUCGGAGAAGAAGGAAAAGAGGCCUUGGAAGCCUGCUUGGAGAGAGAUGAUUAAAAGAAAAACCUACGUAGGGAAGUAAGUGCAUCACCUAAGAGCAGCCUCUCCCAUGCACCGCCCAGAAGCACCCCUGGCUUACGCUGUUCAGGGGGAUGAGAGUGUUUUGGAAGAAUGGCUGCAGCACCACGGCGAAGUCCUCACGCUGAAGAAAAGCAGUGGGGGUCCAAAGCAAUGAAGUGACUUGCAUACUUCAGGCAGUCAAUAAGGAUGUGUCCAAGGGCUUUCGAUUCUCAAGAAAUUGCAACCUAGUAAAAAUCAAAGAUCUGCCAUGGACCUCAGAGCCACAUGGAUCAGGACCCUGCCGGGGGCUAAUCUGUGUCCAGCCACCUCCUCCCACAGGCCCGGGCCUCUGGCCACGGCAGGUGGGAUCCGCGCAGAUUUCCCAUCAGGGAUGUUCCCUUGUAUUUCAUCCAGCUCUUUCACUGCAGGCUGACCCUGUUCAAUUCUUAUCCAGCUGCCUGUUUUAAAAAUAACCUUUUGUAUAUUUGAAAAAGUCAUGGCCCUAAAUUAUCCCUCAGCUUUCUCCUUUCCUGGCUUCCUGACUCCUUAACCUUUGCUUCUAAGGCCCACUCUCGGGUCCUUUAAUCCUUUUGUUUUACUUCUGUGUAGUUACUUUGGAUUUCUACACCAUUCCCCAUCUCCUCACUUUUUUUCCUCCCAACAAGACAGGAUGGGGGAGACAAAUAGGAUUAGUUCUUCCUCCAGCUCCCUGUUGUCUGCCACUAAUAAGGAAAUGAAUGUUUUUGGAUGAGAGAUAUGUAUAUCAAUGGGACACUACUCGGCAAUAAAGUGGAAUGAAACUAUCGACA
Molecule: long non-coding RNA, 2092 nt
Organism: Manis pentadactyla (Chinese pangolin)
Lineage: Eukaryota; Metazoa; Chordata; Mammalia; Pholidota; Manidae
Exons: 5
Source: RefSeq, a predicted model, not a curated record